AGGAAUGGCCCUGUGGACCUCUGUGAUGGGACAUCUGGUGGAAUCUCACAGGCAGUUCUGUGGCAAAGAUGGAUGAAAGCUAAGGACUCAUGAGGAAGCUGGAUAACUGAACAAAGCCAUGUACAAGAAUGGGAAGCCAGAAAAUGGGAUGGUGGAGUUUGAAUCAGGUGGACAGUUCUAAAAGUAAGUAGUGAAAAACAGUUGCUGUAGGUCAGUACAAAGUGGCAUGAAGAAAUUUUUAAAUUCAGAGUCCAGCAUGUAUUGUCUUCUGAUGCUUGAAUUAGUUGUAUUCUUGACAACACUUAAACGGGGUUUUUGUAAUGAUGUUGAUCAAAUGUCUGAGCUGAAAAUAACUUGUAGACAAUUUUUAACACUGAAGAACCCUGUGGCAGGCUACUAAGCAUAGUUGGGUCACAUGCAGCAUAUUUGUAAGAGGUAUUUUCUUUUAAUUCUAGCUACUGUGGUUGCAUGCUUUCAUUGGGAUGGCUUGCUUGGGUAAGAAGCCAUUGGGGGUCUUGAAUUCAAGAUGUAUUCUAUCCAGUAGUCAUUUGCAGUAUUCCUGUAUAACAUUUAACUUUUGAACAUGCAUGUGCUACCAUGGGUACUAAAUGGUGCCUUCAAUUUUUUUUCAGGUACAAAUGAUUUCGUAUAAAGGUACCACAUGUGGGUCCCUUUAACUGAAGGCAUGGCAAGCUCCACACAAGGUCCUUCAUUUCUGAAUUUCAAGGGCUCCUCUGACAAGUGGACAGUGCAGUGGGUGCACCUUUUCCAGAGGUGACUGGAUGGAUGCUUGAACAGAAGAUUUGCCAAAUAGACAUUGUGCUGUCAAGAAUUUUACCAUUAAAAGUGCAUUAUUGU
This 858-nucleotide long non-coding RNA is filed under the name Rattus norvegicus (Norway rat). Lineage: Eukaryota; Metazoa; Chordata; Mammalia; Rodentia; Muridae. The record is from RNAcentral.